CACAAGUUUCAGCGUAGCGCGUUUUGUCUGAUAGUAACCUGCCGUGUGCCUCGGCCGGCCAGAAUUCAUCGUUAAUAUGAUUCCGUCCGCUCUCUGCGUUGUCCUGCUCGUCACCGCGUGUAUGUUUCCUGACGGCGUCCGGCCGCUGUCGACGAACGCGAGUGUCAAGAGGAGCGACUGCAUCUACGAAGAAUGCACGGACGAAGUGUGCGUACCGCGAGGCCUCGUCUGUCGUCCGAAGGGGUGCGGGGGCUCGCACUGCGUCCGAGAAAACUGAGCUGGGAACCAAGAGGACAAAAUGCAACGAGUCUGUCUGUUUUAGGCUCAGAUAUCACCAAGGCUUACAACAGCGUGAAAUGGAGCAUCAAUGGACAACGUUACCAUUUUGAAGGAUGUCCGUCAGGAUAUGGUAUGGGUCUGCAGAUGUUGUAAUCAAGGCUUGCUCAAUCUUUG
RNAcentral lists this long non-coding RNA (453 nucleotides) under Dermacentor andersoni. Its description in RNAcentral is "uncharacterized LOC126542220". Lineage: Eukaryota; Metazoa; Arthropoda; Arachnida; Ixodida; Ixodidae. The record is from RNAcentral.